GACGAACGCUGGCGGCGUGCCUAAUACAUGCAAGUCGAGCGAGCGGAACCAACAGAUUUACUUCGGUAAUGACGUUGGGAAAGCGAGCGGCGGAUGGGUGAGUAACACGUGGGGAACCUGCCCCUAAGUCUGGGAUACCAUUUGGAAACAGGUGCUAAUACCGGAUAAUAAAGCAGAUCGCAUGAUCAGCUUUUGAAAGGCGGCGUAAGCUGUCGCUAAGGGAUGGCCCCGCGGUGCAUUAGCUAGUUGGUAAGGUAACGGCUUACCAAGGCGACGAUGCAUAGCCGAGUUGAGAGACUGAUCGGCCACAUUGGGACUGAGACACGGCCCAAAACUCCUACGGGGAGGCAGCAGUAGGGAAUCUUCCACAAUGGACGCAAGUCUGAUGGAGCAACGCCGCGUGAGUGAAGAAGGUUUCGGAUCGUAAAGCUCUGUUGUUGGUGAAGAAGGAUAGAGGUAGUAACUGGCCUUUAUUGACGGUAAUCAACCAGAAA
This 494-nucleotide ribosomal RNA is filed under the name uncultured bacterium. RNAcentral describes it as "bacterial SSU rRNA". It matches the Rfam family "Bacterial small subunit ribosomal RNA", at positions 28 to 489 of the family's 1533-position model. The record is from RNAcentral.